RNAcentral lists this long non-coding RNA (3248 nucleotides) under Eutrema salsugineum. RNAcentral's name for it is "long non-coding RNA (ESAL_LNC001178)". The record is from RNAcentral. Lineage: Eukaryota; Viridiplantae; Streptophyta; Magnoliopsida; Brassicales; Brassicaceae.
ACUCUCUUUCUUUUAAGAUCGAUAUUUUUUCUUAACAUUCAUCUUUUUCAUUCAUUUCUCUUAUUUUCAUUACAUUGCACUCUCUUCAUACAUAUAGGUGAUAUCCUCUAACUACUCUUACUAACUCUCAUCAUUACUACACCUCAACUCUAGGACUUUAGACUCUCUUACACAACUGUUCUAACUUAGACUUCUAACAACUCUCAUUACUACUUUAGCUACUCAUUCUUAGAAUUAAUGAUAACAAGUCCUACACUUACACACAAACUCUUAUUCCUGUGUUCUUUUGGGCUUGUGCAGAUCCGCAGGCCCAUUGACUAACCUUAGCAGCCCAACUUCUUCCUUUGACUAAUCUUCAAUUUGACUUUUCUCUUCUCCUUCUUCCUUUCCAAAAACACGAUCAGCUCCUUCUUCAAUUCUUCUUCUGAUUGCUUGUUGCUGGUUGAUGCUUCUUGUCUUUUUUUUUUUUUGCAGACAUACUCAAAGGAUCAACACUCAACACUCCCUCUUGAGCCUUUAAUAGUUUCCUUGAUUCCAACUUAGGGUUUUGUAGCUCGAUGUCUUUGGUUCUUCUCUCUUCAUCACCUUGGUCUUCAGAACAUCAGCAUAGCUUCUGGGUAAGUUUACUUUCUCAAUUUCUUCCUUGUUCUGUGUUUUUCCGCACUCAAUUUCUUCUUUUCUUUUCAAUUUCGUUUUUCUCUCUUGAACCAUUUUCUCGUCAACUUCAAUUGAUUUUUGCUUCUCUUCUUUCUGCAGGUUCUUAACUGUGGAGGCUCUGCUCCCUCCGUCCUUCUGCAUUUCACGUCCAGGUAAUUUCUUUACCUCUUCCUUGUUUGAGCCUUGAAUCUUCUGUUUCUCGUUGGUGCUGUUCUUGUUGGUGGAUUUCAAGCUUGGAUAGUUGAAUCCAAUGCUGUCAAUUUCUUGGAUCAACUUCUCUUUCCAUGGUGUCUUCUCAUUACCCUUGUUGAAUCUUCCUUGAGCCAUUUUUGCAUUUCUGCCGAUGAUUCCAUCAAUCAGCUUCUUCUCCUUCUCCUUCAGAGAUAAGUUUUCCUUAUGUUGAUUUGUAUCACUCUUGAUCACUGUCUUAGUAAGUCUGGUUUCUUGCACAACCUCCUUGGUUUUCUUAAUCUCCAUUUCUCUUUUGUUGAACUCAGUUUUCCUCUGAUUCUCAACAUUGAUCACUGGCUUCUUCUCCUUUCUUGUUGCAGGUUUCUCUUCAGGUUUCCAUUGCAGAGAUAUCAUUGAGCUUGGGGCUUCAGCAUAUCCUGAUCCCUCAUAGUCGGUUUUAGCUUCUUGUUCAGACAAAACAUUCAUCGCCUUCUUGCUUAAUGGCAUAUGAAGGUGAAAGCUUUUCUUUGCCAUUUUCACUUCUGCAAUCUUCUUUCCAGCUUGAUCCAGAAUGAUGCAGCUUCUGUGUUUGAAGGUAACAAUGUAUCCAUUCUCAAUCAUUUGAGUAACACUUAGGAGAUUUUUAGCAAUGUUAGGCACUAGAAGCACAUUUCUGAUUAUCCUUUUGCCUUUAGUAGUCAUCACUUCAAUGUCUCCUUUUCCUUUGGUUAUCAAUGCAGUUCCAUCACCAACUCUGAUUGGUACUCUAAAGCUUGUAUCAAGUCUCUUGAAUAGCUUCUCAUUGGGUGUCAUGUGAUUGGUGCAGCCACUAUCAAUGAGCCAAAUGCUUUCUUCGGGUAUCUUCUCUUCCUCUUGUCUUGCUGAGAACAUGUGGUACUCUUCUUCUUCCUGAGUCGCUUGAGCUUGUUCAGCUCUUCUAUUUCUGCAGUCCUUGGACAGAUGACCUACUUUGCUGCAGGUGAAGCAGCUUCUUGUGUCUCUGUUCCUGUUGAACUCAGGUCUACCUUUUCCAUUCUUGAAGUAACACACUUCUUCAUUGUGUGUAUCUCUUUUACAGAAUCCACACCAUCUCUUUUCUCUGUAGCUUGACUGACUUGAGUUGCCUCUUUCAUUGUUCUCGAUUUUCAGGUUUUUGAAUCGAGCAUGAAAUGCUCCUUCACCAUUAUCUUCAUCUGGGAAGUACUUCUUCUCAUGUGCUUCAAGGGACCCUAUCAGCUCCGCAUAAGUAACUGUAUAGAGAUCCUUAUUUUCUUCUAUUAAUGAGGCUAGACCAGCAUAACUCUUUGGCAUAGAAGCUAACACCUUAACUACCAGGUCAAAGUUUGAUCUUUCUCCUCCUAAAGCUCUCAUUUGAUUUGCUAUAGCUUGUAUCCUAUCAGAAUAGGCUUUAACUUUCUCCCCUUCUUUCAUUUUCAAGUUUUCAAACUCUUUUCUAAGAGAUUGCAAUCUAACCAUUUUUACUUUUUCAUUACCUUGAUAGGAAUGCUCCAGAAGAUCCCAAGCCUCUUUUACAGUUGUUGCAGAGAGGAUUUUGUCAAAGAUAGUAUCGGCUACAGCAUAUUGGAUGAUUUGGAGUGCAGCUGUAUCUUUGGCUUUGAGAGUCUUCAGGUUUGUUGUCUCCUUUGAUUUGUCAGCUCCUGGUGUUUCUGGUGACUUCGAAGACAUGUCUGGUCUUGACAAUCUCCCAUAACUCCUUAUUCUUCAGAGUUGUUCUCAUUCUUGCAGCCCAGAACUCAUAGUUCUGGCCAUCAAAUACAGCCACCGAUUGAGAUGUCUGUAGGUUUAUCGCCAUUUGAUCUUUCUUGUUCUUCCUUUCUUCUGGUUUCUUCUGAUUUCUGCUUCUUGGUUUUCUUGUAACAGGUCACACAGACAACUAUAGCUCUGAUACCAUGUUGAACUUCACUCUUUUAAGAUAUGUUUUCUUUCACUCUCUUUCUUUCAAGAUCGAUAUUUCUUCUUAACAUUCAUCUUUUUCAUUCAUUUCUCUUAUCUUCAUUACAUUGCACUCUCUUCAUACAUAUAGGUGAUAUCCUCUAACUACUCUUACUAACUCUCAUCAUUACUACACCUCAACUCUAGGACUUUAGACUCUCUUACACAACUGUUCUAACUUAGACUUCUAACAACUCUCAUUACUACUUUAGCUACUCAUUCUUAGAAUUAAUGAUAACAAGUCCUACACUUACACACAAACUCUUAUUCCUGUGUUCUUUUGGGCUUUGUGCAGAUCCGCAGGCCCAUUGACUAACCUUAGCAGCCCAACUUCUUCCUUUGACUAAUCUUCAAUUUGACUUUUCUCUUCUCCUUCUUCCUUUCCAAAAACACGAUCAGCUCCUUCUUCAAUUCUUCUUCUGAUUGCUUGUUGCUGGUUGAUGCUUCUUGUCUUCUUUUCUUUUUGC